RNAcentral lists this ribosomal RNA (140 nucleotides) under uncultured eukaryote. Its description in RNAcentral is "partial 18S ribosomal RNA". It matches the Rfam family "Eukaryotic small subunit ribosomal RNA", at positions 1299 to 1458 of the family's 1831-position model. The record is from RNAcentral.
UGGUGGAGUGAUUUGUCUGGUUAAUUCCGUUAACGAACGAGACCUCGACCUGCUAAAUAGUCCGGCUAACCCUUGGUUGGUCUGGUACUUCUUAGAGGGACUAUCGGUGCUUUAGCCGGUGGAAGUCCGAGGCAAUAACA